Molecule: ribosomal RNA, 253 nt
Filed under: uncultured bacterium
Lineage: Bacteria
Description: partial 16S ribosomal RNA
Rfam family: Bacterial small subunit ribosomal RNA
Source: RNAcentral
UACAGAGGUCCCAAGCGUUGUUCGGAUUCAUUGGGCGUAAAGGGUGCGUAGGCGGCGCGGUAAGUCGGGCGUGAAAUCCCUCGGCCCAACCGAGGAACUGCGCCCGAGACUGCUUCUCUUGAGUCCCGGAGAGGAAGAUGGAAUUCCCGGUGUAGCGGUGAAAUGUGUAGAGAUCGGGAGGAACACCGGUGGCGAAGGCGGUCUUCUGGACGGUGACUGACGCUGAGGCGCGAAAGCGUGGGGAGCAAACGGG